RNAcentral lists this ribosomal RNA (465 nucleotides) under Vreelandella stevensii. RNAcentral's name for it is "partial 16S ribosomal RNA". It matches the Rfam family "Bacterial small subunit ribosomal RNA", at positions 338 to 795 of the family's 1533-position model. The record is from RNAcentral. Lineage: Bacteria; Pseudomonadati; Pseudomonadota; Gammaproteobacteria; Oceanospirillales; Halomonadaceae.
CCUACGGGUGGCAGCAGUGGGGAAUAUUGGACAAUGGGGGGAACCCUGAUCCAGCCAUGCCGCGUGUGUGAAGAAGGCCCUCGGGUUGUAAAGCACUUUCAGUGAGGAAGAACGCCUGGUGGUUAAUACCCAUCAGGAAAGACAUCACUCACAGAAGAAGCACCGGCUAACUCCGUGCCAGCAGCCGCGGUAAUACGGAGGGUGCGAGCGUUAAUCGGAAUUACUGGGCGUAAAGCGCGCGUAGGUGGCUUGAUAAGCCGGUUGUGAAAGCCCCGGGCCCAACCUGGGAACGGCAUCCGGAACUGUCAAGCUAGAGUGCAGGAGAGGAAGGUAGAAUUCCCGGUGUAGCGGUGAAAUGCGUAGAGAUCGGGAGGAAUACCAGUGGCGAAGGCGGCCUUCUGGACUGACACUGACACUGAGGUGCGAAAGCGUGGGUAGCAAACAGGAUUAGAUACCCUAGUAGUC